GGGGUCGUAGCUUAGCCUGGUUUAAAGCGCCACACUGUCACUGUGGAGAUCGCGGGUUCAAAUCCCGUCGGCCCCGCCA
Molecule: transfer RNA, 79 nt
Filed under: Candidatus Peregrinibacteria bacterium
Lineage: Bacteria; Candidatus Peregrinibacteriota
Description: tRNA-Asp
Rfam family: tRNA
About the family: Transfer RNA (tRNA) molecules are approximately 80 nucleotides in length. Their secondary structure includes four short double-helical elements and three loops (D, anti-codon, and T loops).
Source: RNAcentral